RNAcentral lists this unclassified non-coding RNA (163 nucleotides) under uncultured Sordariomycetes. Its description in RNAcentral is "sequence contains ITS1". The record is from RNAcentral. Lineage: Eukaryota; Fungi; Ascomycota; Sordariomycetes.
CCAGAGGCCGAGAGGCUGCCUAAAACCAUCGCGAACCCGUCCAAGUUGCUUCGGCGGCGCGGAGUCCCCUCCACAGGGGCCGCCGCAGCCCUACAGCGCCCGCCGGAGGCACGAAACUCCAGUGUAUUAUAGUGGCAUCUCUGAGUACUAAACAAAUAAGUCA